GUUUUUGCCAUAAGCUCCAAUUAGCAUAAUCAUUUAGAGCAGACACUUGAAGUUCUACUGGUCCUGAUUGCAUUUUCCCUAAAGACACAGCUUGUUGUAUGGCUUCUUUUGCCAUGUCAAAUGAACGUUGUUGUUCCUCCCCCCAUACAAAAGAAGAAAUGCCAAAAACAAGAUGCACAAAAGUCCCAAAGUAGUGAUAAUGCAGAAAAAAGGUGCAAUUUUUUUUUCAUCUUCAAGAGGCUUUUUUCUUUAAACAGGUC
Molecule: long non-coding RNA, 260 nt
Organism: Thalassophryne amazonica
Lineage: Eukaryota; Metazoa; Chordata; Actinopteri; Batrachoidiformes; Batrachoididae
Exons: 3
Source: RefSeq, a predicted model, not a curated record